This 1578-nucleotide unclassified non-coding RNA is filed under the name Hevea brasiliensis (rubber tree). The record is from RNAcentral. Lineage: Eukaryota; Viridiplantae; Streptophyta; Magnoliopsida; Malpighiales; Euphorbiaceae.
GUACAUUUAACUACCUUGAUUCGAAAACAAAAACAACAAUGAGGUUGUAUCAUACUGCCCAGUCUAUUCUAAUUCUUGUAAUCUGGAUUGUCUCGGAGGCCAAGUUUAGAGAGAACAAUGUAGUAAGAAUCCCAGUCGGUUCUUCGUAGAUACUUCAACAACUUCUUUCUCCUUUGUACCAUUGCUAGAAGACCCUUUCGAGAGUGUUUAUCCUUUUUGUGAAGAACUGAAGAUAGGUGCUUGAUCUUAGUUGUCAGCAGUGCCACUUGAACACGUGCGGACCCGCAAUCUGACUCCGACAUUUUAAAUUCUUCUCUAACCUUGGCAAGCUCAGUUUUCAAUUUCUCUGCAGAAGACAUAUUAUCUGGAUGGAAAUACUUUUCAACUAAGUGCUCCUUCGGAGGAUGCUUCAUCAAAUCUGGAGUGGUACCCCACUGACCCAAGAGAUUUAGUCUUUCGAUUGAAUUCUUGGCCUUCUCCUCGUCCGACUGCUUAAGUCGCACCAAGCACUGUCUCAAAUCCUUAAAAGAUAUACCACCAAUCCUGGAUUCAGUCUCCCUCUCCUCCAUUUCCCUCAACUUCCUCAACCUCUCAUUCAACUCCUCCAACGAAAACCAAUUCUUUUCACCCUCCUUCACCUCUGGCCGCAGAGUCCUCAACUUCUGCCCCAACUCUCCAUAGUUAUACAUUUUCACAAAUUCUGUACUCGCUCCCUGUUUAACACUGGCAUCCUCCUUUCCAAAAGCCGGCAGUGGCAGUCCCUCGGUCCCACCAAUCACAGUGGAGUUCAUCGAUUCAUUUUCAUUCAUGGGUUUUAGUUUCAAUCUGUCCUUUAAAGCCGAAAACGACAUUGCGUCUUCACUCCUUUUACCAGCGUUUGUGGAUGCUUUGGACCUCAUCUGUCGUAAACUCUCUCUAAUUGCUUGAAAUGACAGCUUCCCAGAAACGGGGUUAUAGUUAUUAUUGGCUUCAAUACUGCCCAAACCAUCCUCUGACUUUCUAAUCAUACUUCGAUUGUAUAGUUCUUGGAACGAGAUUUGCUGCUGCUGCUGCUGCUGUUGUUCGUUGUUCAGAGUAAGGAGAUCCUGAAGUUUUGGAUUCAGUUGGGGGCGGAACAGAGGAUCUACGACGGAACUCCGCGAGAUUCUUUCUUAUUUCUUCAAUAGAAGCAAUUUUUCUUGCCGGUCCCGAGAUAGAAGGAUUGACGUUCGACGGUUCUCUAAGAGGAGGCAAGUUGGGUCUAUUUAGUCGGUUUUUGGGAUUGUGGGUUUUGCAUCUGUUGCUUGAGGCUGGCUUUGACAUCAGGGAAGAAAGAAGAAAACGAGGCUUGUUGUUGCUGUGGUGGUGGUGGUUGCGAAUGAGAAUCGUUGGCAUCUUGAUCGGUAAAUUGGUCGCUGGGUGGGGUUGUGGACGACGACGACGACGACGAAGAAGUAGAAAAGAAGUGGAUGAGAGAAGGGUUAGUAAGGGAUCUGCGUUUGGGUCUGGCGAUAGAGAGAGCCAUUAAAGGUUAAGAAGGUGAAAAAAUGAUGUUUACUGGACUAGGGUUUGAGAGUGAAGAAGAAGGGUGGCACUGGC